RNAcentral lists this ribosomal RNA (700 nucleotides) under uncultured bacterium. RNAcentral describes it as "bacterial SSU rRNA". It matches the Rfam family "Bacterial small subunit ribosomal RNA", at positions 77 to 773 of the family's 1533-position model. The record is from RNAcentral.
AGCUUGCUUCUCUUGAGAGCGGCGGACGGGUGAGUAAUGCCUAGGAAUCUGCCUGGUAGUGGGGGAUAACGUUCGGAAACGGACGCUAAUACCGCAUACGUCCUACGGGAGAAAGCAGGGGACCUUCGGGCCUUGCGCUACCAGAUGAGCCUAGGUCGGAUUAGCUAGUUGGUGAGGUAAUGGCUCACCAAGGCGACGAUCCGUAACUGGUCUGAGAGGAUGAUCAGUCACACUGGAACUGAGACACGGUCCAGACUCCUACGGGAGGCAGCAGUGGGGAAUAUUGGACAAUGGGCGAAAGCCUGAUCCAGCCAUGCCGCGUGUGUGAAGAAGGUCUUCGGAUUGUAAAGCACUUUAAGUUGGGAGGAAGGGCAGUUACCUAAUACGUGAUUGUUUUGACGUUACCGACAGAAUAAGCACCGGCUAACUCUGUGCCAGCAGCCGCGGUAAUACAGAGGGUGCAAGCGUUAAUCGGAAUUACUGGGCGUAAAGCGCGCGUAGGUGGUUUGUUAAGUUGGAUGUGAAAUCCCCGGGCUCAACCUGGGAACUGCAUUCAAAACUGACUGACUAGAGUGUGGUAGAGGGUGGUGGAAUUUCCUGUGUAGCGGUGAAAUGCGUAGAUAUAGGAAGGAACACCAGUGGCGAAGGCGACCACCUGGACCAACACUGACACUGAGGUGCGAAAGCGUGGGGAGCAAAC